CANUGGAGGAACUCUGAUGCAGCGACGCCGCGUGAGUGAAGAAGUAUUUCGGUAUGUAAAGCUCUAUCAGCAGGGNAAGAAAAUGACGGUACCUGCACUAAGAAGCCCCGGCUAACUACGUGCCAGCAGCCGCGGUAAUACGUAGGGGGCAAGCGUUAUCCGGAUUUACUGGGUGUAAAGGGAGCGUAGACGGCGACGCAAGUCUGAAGUGAAAUACCCGGGCUCAACCUGGGAACUGCUUUGGAAACUGUGUUGCUAGAGUGCUGGAGAGGUAAGCGGAAUUCCUAGUGUAGCGGUGAAAUGCGUAGAUAUUAGGAAGAACACCAGUGGCGAAGGCGGCUUACUGGACAGUAACUGACGUUGAGGCUCGAAAGCGUGGGGAGCAAACAGGAUUAGAUACCCUGGUAGUCCAAGGGCGAAUUC
RNAcentral lists this ribosomal RNA (423 nucleotides) under uncultured bacterium. RNAcentral describes it as "SSU rRNA". It matches the Rfam family "Bacterial small subunit ribosomal RNA", at positions 369 to 808 of the family's 1533-position model. The record is from RNAcentral.